This 319-nucleotide long non-coding RNA is filed under the name Mytilus galloprovincialis (Mediterranean mussel). The record is from RNAcentral. Lineage: Eukaryota; Metazoa; Mollusca; Bivalvia; Mytilida; Mytilidae.
AUUUUGCGAGAUUUUAUAUAAAAAUGACCCUCCUUUUUAAUGACAUCCUAUAUUAAAAUGCAUUUACGUUUGAUAAUUGUAUAUUGAUUUGGGGUAUGAUCUACAUAUCAUAUAUAAAUAUGCUAUUGAUAUGUGCACCAAACGAUGUCAAUUCAUAUAUAAAAACUUAAGGGUAGCUGGUAUAUUUAUGAAUUAUGAGUGAUGAUGAGUUAGUGCUUAUAUAAGCAUGGGUCAAAUAUUGUAUAUAAGUAUAUGUCAUUCUUUCUUAAAUAUUUAUAUAACUAUAGGUACUGAAUUUCAGUGAAUGUUAUAUUAAAAU